GAUGAACGCUGGCGGCGUGCCUAAUACAUGCAAGUCGAGCGAACAGACGAGGUGCUUGCUCCUCUGACGUUAGCGGCGGACGGGUGAGUAACACGUGGAUAACCUACCUAUAAGACUGGGAUAACUUCGGGAAACCGGAGCUAAUACCGGAUAACAUGUUGAACCGCAUGGUUCAACAGUGAAAGACGGUCUUGCUGUCACUUAUAGAUGGAUCCGCGCCGCAUUAGCUAGUUGGUAAGGUAACGGCUUACCAAGGCAACGAUGCGUAGCCGACCUGAGAGGGUGAUCGGCCACACUGGAACUGAGACACGGUCCAGACUCCUACGGGAGGCAGCAGUAGGGAAUCUUCCGCAAUGGGCGAAAGCCUGACGGAGCAACGCCGCGUGAGUGAAGAAGGUCUUCGGAUCGUAAAACUCUGUUAUUAGGGAAGAACAAAUGUGUAAGUAACUAUGCACGUCUUGACGGUACCUAAUCAGAAAGCCACGGCUAACUACGUG
Molecule: ribosomal RNA, 497 nt
Filed under: uncultured bacterium
Lineage: Bacteria
Description: partial 16S ribosomal RNA
Rfam family: Bacterial small subunit ribosomal RNA
Source: RNAcentral